RNAcentral lists this ribosomal RNA (467 nucleotides) under uncultured bacterium. RNAcentral's name for it is "partial 16S ribosomal RNA". It matches the Rfam family "Bacterial small subunit ribosomal RNA", at positions 28 to 506 of the family's 1533-position model. The record is from RNAcentral.
GACGAACGCUGGCGGCGUGCUUAACACAUGCAAGUCGAACGGAAAGGCCCUGCUUUUGUGGGGUGCUCGAGUGGCGAACGGGUGAGUAACACGUGAGUAACCUGCCCUUGACUUUGGGAUAACUUCAGGAAACUGGGGCUAAUACCGGAUAGGAGCUCCUGCUGCAUGGUGGGGGUUGGAAAGUUUCGGCGGUUGGGGAUGGACUCGCGGCUUAUCAGCUUGUUGGUGGGGUAGUGGCUUACCAAGGCUUUGACGGGUAGCCGGCCUGAGAGGGUGACCGGCCACAGUGGGACUGAGAUACGGCCCAGACGCCUACGGGAGGCAGCAGUGGGGAAUAUUGCACAAUGGGCGGAAGCCUGAUGCAGCAACGCCGCGUGCGGGAGGACGGCCUUCGGGUUGUAAACCGCUUUCGCCUGUGACGAAGCGUGAGUGACGGUAAUGGGGAAAGAAGCACCGGCUAACUACGU